GAUGAAGAACGAAGCGAAAUGCGAUAAGUAGUGUGAAUUGCAGAAUUCAGUGAAUCAUCGAAUCUUUGAACGCACAUUGCGCCCCUUGGUAUUCCAUGGGGCAUGCCUGUUCGAGCGUCAUUUGUACCUUCAAGCUUUGCUUGGUGUUGGGUGUUUGUCCUGAGGGACUCGCCUUAAAGUGAUUGGCAGCCAGUGUUUGGUUUUGAAGCGCAGCACAAGUCGCGAUUCAAAGCUAUACGCCCGCUUCCACAAGCCUUUUUCACUUUUGACCUCGGAUCAGGUAGGGAUACCCGCUGAACUUAAGCAUAUCAAUAAGCGGAGGA
RNAcentral lists this unclassified non-coding RNA (323 nucleotides) under soil metagenome. RNAcentral describes it as "partial contains 5.8S ribosomal RNA, internal transcribed spacer 2, and large subunit ribosomal RNA". The stretch from base 1 to 120 matches the Rfam family "5.8S ribosomal RNA", at positions 35 to 154 of the family's 154-position model. The record is from RNAcentral.